This is a non-coding RNA of Oryzias latipes (Japanese medaka), 308 nucleotides long. The record is from RefSeq and is a predicted model, not a curated record. Lineage: Eukaryota; Metazoa; Chordata; Actinopteri; Beloniformes; Adrianichthyidae.
UGGGUUUUGUUGUUUGUGUGACUGCGAUCCAUCCUGCCGCUCUCGGUUAGCUGCUGUCAGGAGAACCGUGUGUUUGAGCAGCCUUGCCUUCACCCUGGACAGGUCUCCAGUCUGUCGCAGGGCCACAGAGAAUCAUCUUUCAUUGAUUAGCAAAGGGGGUUUGGCAUAGAUUUUUAUGCCAGAUCUUCAUCCUGACACAACCCUGCAUUUUAUCCAGGCUGGGGACCUGCACAGGGGGACACAGACUUGGGCCCCCUCAUAGCUACAUAGUUAGGUAAUAGCGUGAAGGGAAAUUGAACCUGGCAUCU